CCCUUAGAUGUUCUGGGCCGCACGCGCGCUACACUGAUGCAUUCAACAAGCCUAGCCUUGACCGAGAGGUCCGGGUAAUCUUUGAAACUGCAUCGUGAUGGGGCUAGAUUAUUGCAAUUAUUAAUCUUCAACGAGGAAUGCCUAGUAAGCGUGAUUCAUCAAAUCGCGUUGAUUACGUCCCUGCCCUUUGUACACACCGCCCGUCGCUCCUACCGAUUGAAUGUGUUGGUGAGGAGCUCGGAUUGGCAGCAGUUGGUGGUUCGCCACCUGCUAUUGCUGAGAAGUCCUCCAAACCGCCCCAUUUAGAGGAAGGAGAAGUCGUAACA
RNAcentral lists this ribosomal RNA (326 nucleotides) under uncultured eukaryote. RNAcentral describes it as "partial 18S ribosomal RNA". It matches the Rfam family "Eukaryotic small subunit ribosomal RNA", at positions 1470 to 1796 of the family's 1831-position model. The record is from RNAcentral.